GCUUAAUCAAAUUAAGCCAAUUAGCAAUCGAAUUGCUAAUCAAUCCUCCUGCAACACUUGCACUGGGUUAAAUGUCAAUCGUAUUGAUCAUUUAACCCUGGAACGAUUCUUAAUCGUUGAUCAACCAUCCGAUCGGAUCAUGAACUCUAAUGUGUGUGACCUCAUAGGUCCGAACCUAAGCCGGUAGCAUAGGAAUAAAUUCUUAAACCAAUCGAAGUGACCAUCUAGCAAUGGUACCCGACGA
RNAcentral lists this long non-coding RNA (244 nucleotides) under Elaeis guineensis (African oil palm). RNAcentral's name for it is "long non-coding RNA (EGUI_LNC065606)". The record is from RNAcentral. Lineage: Eukaryota; Viridiplantae; Streptophyta; Magnoliopsida; Arecales; Arecaceae.